Molecule: ribosomal RNA, 699 nt
Filed under: uncultured bacterium
Lineage: Bacteria
Description: partial 16S ribosomal RNA
Source: RNAcentral
UACGGUUACCUUGUUACGACUUUAUCCCAGUCGCUGACCUUACCGUGGCUCGCUGCUUCCAAAAGGUUAGCACACGAUCUUCGGGCAAAGCCAACUCCCAUGAUAUGACGGGCGGUGUGUACAAGACCCGGGAACGUAUUCACCGUGGCAUGCUGAUCCACGAUUACUAGCGAUUCCAACUUCAUGCUCUCGAGUUGCAGAGAACAAUCCGAACUGAGACUGUUUUUAGAGAUUAGCUUGGCCUCGCGACCUUGCUGCCCACUGUCACAGCCAUUGUAGCACGUUUGUAGCCCUACCCGUAAGGGCCAUGAUGACUUGACGUCGUCCCCGCCUUCCUCCGGCUUAUCACCGGCAGUCUCACUAGAGUGCCCAGCUUAACCUGAUGGCAACUAAUAAUAAGGGUUGCGCUCGUUGCGGGACUUAACCCAACAUCUCACGACACGAGCUGACGACAGCCAUGCAACACCUGUAUCUGGUCCACCCGAAGUGAAGAAAAGCAUCUCUGCAAUUCCCGACCAGUAUGUCAAGGGUAGGUAAGGUUCUUCGCGUUGCUUCGAAUUAAACAACAUGCUCCACCGCUUGUGCGGGUCCCCGUCAAUUCCUUUGAGUUUUAGCCUUGCGGCCGUACUCCCCAGGCGGUGUGCUUAAUGAUUUCUCUCCGUCGCCGAAACCUUAAGGUCCCGACAACUAGCACACAUC